CCUACGGGAGGCAGCAGUGGGGAAUCUUGGACAAUGGGGGCAACCCUGAUCCAGCCAUGCCGCGUGAGUGAUGAAGGCCUUAGGGUCGUAAAGCUCUUUCGCCUGUGAAGAUAAUGACGGUAGCAGGUAAAGAAACCCCGGCUAACUCCGUGCCAGCAGCCGCGGUAAUACGGAGGGGGUUAGCGUUGUUCGGAAUUACUGGGCGUAAAGCGCACGUAGGCGGAUCGGAAAGUUGGGGGUGAAAUCCCGGGGCUCAACCCCGGAACUGCCUCCAAAACUAUCGGUCUAGAGUUCGAGGGAGGUGAGUGGAAUUCCGAGUGUAGAGGUGAAAUUCGUAGAUAUUCGGAGGAACACCAGUGGCGAAGGCGGCUCACUGGCUCGAUACUGACGCUGAGGUGCGAAAGUGUGGGGAGCAAACAGGAUUAGAUACCCUGGUAGUCCACACCGUAAACGAUGAAUGCCAGUCGUCGGGUAGCAUGCUAUUCGGUGACACACCUAACGGAUUAAGCAUUCCGCCUGGGGAGUACAGUCGCAAGAUUAAAACUCAAAUGAAUUGACGGA
This 561-nucleotide ribosomal RNA is filed under the name uncultured bacterium. RNAcentral describes it as "bacterial SSU rRNA". It matches the Rfam family "Bacterial small subunit ribosomal RNA", at positions 338 to 917 of the family's 1533-position model. The record is from RNAcentral.